RNAcentral lists this ribosomal RNA (266 nucleotides) under uncultured Desulfocapsa sp. RNAcentral describes it as "partial 16S ribosomal RNA". It matches the Rfam family "Bacterial small subunit ribosomal RNA", at positions 1118 to 1382 of the family's 1533-position model. Lineage: Bacteria; Pseudomonadati; Thermodesulfobacteriota; Desulfobulbia; Desulfobulbales; Desulfocapsaceae. The record is from RNAcentral.
GCCAUCAUUAAGUUGGGCUCGUCUAAAGAGACUGCCGGUAGGUCAAACCGGAGGAAGGUGGGAUGACGUCAAGUCCUCAUGGCCUUUAUGACCAGGGCUACACACGUACUACAAUGGCCGGUACAAAGGGCAGCGACACAGCGAUGUGAAGCCAAUCCCGAAAAGCCGGUCUCAGUCCGGAUUGGAGUCUGCAACUCGACUCCAUGAAGUUGGAAUCGCUAGUAAUCGUGGAUCAGCACGCCACGGUGAAUACGUUCCCGGGCCUU